Zootoca vivipara (common lizard) is the source of this 74-nucleotide non-coding RNA. NCBI's taxonomy places the organism in Eukaryota, Metazoa, Chordata, Lepidosauria, Squamata, Lacertidae. The record is from the annotation of a RefSeq genome assembly.
AGCCAGUUAGCUCAGUUGGUGAAAGUGUGGUGCUGAUAACCCCAAGGUCAUGGGUUCGAUUCCCAUAUGGGCCA